UACAGAGGUCUCAAGCGUUGUUCGGAUUCAUUGGGCGUAAAGGGUGCGUAGGCGGCGCGGUAAGUCGGGUGUGAAAUCUUGGAGCUUAACUCCGAAACUGCAUUCGAUACUGCCGUGCUUGAGGACUGGAGAGGAGACUGGAAUUUACGGUGUAGCGGUGAAAUGCGUAGAUAUCGUAAGGAAGACCAGUGGCGAAGGCGGGUCUCUGGACAGUUCCUGACGCUGAGGCACGAAGGCCAGGGGAGCAAACAGG
This 253-nucleotide ribosomal RNA is filed under the name uncultured bacterium. RNAcentral describes it as "partial 16S ribosomal RNA". It matches the Rfam family "Bacterial small subunit ribosomal RNA", at positions 524 to 776 of the family's 1533-position model. The record is from RNAcentral.